UCUGGUUGAUCCUGCCAGUAGUUAUAUGCUUGUCUCAAAGAUUAAGCCAUGCAUGUCUAAGUACACACGAAUUAAAAGUGAAACCGCAAAAGGCUCAUUAUAUCAGUUAUGGUUCCUUAGAUCGUUAACAGUUACUUGGAUAACUGUGGUAAUUCUAGAGCUAAUACAUGCAAUUAAAACAUGAACCUUAUGGGACAUGUGCUUUUAUUAGGCUAAAACCAAGCGAUCGCAAGAUCGUUAUAUUGGUUGAACUCUAGAUAACAUGCAGAUCGUAUGGUCUUGUACCGACGACAGAUCUUUCAAAUGUCUGCCCUAUCAACUUUUGAUGGUAGUAUCUAGGACUACCAUGGUUGCAACGGGUAACGGGGAAUCAGGGUUCGAUUCCGGAGAGGGAGCCUGAGAAACGGCUACCACAUCUAAGGAAGGCAGCAGGCGCGUAAAUUACCCACUCCCAGCUCGGGGAGGUAGUGACGAAAAAUAACAAUACAGGACUCAUAUCCGAGGCCCUGUAAUUGGAAUGAGUACACUUUAAAUCCUUUAACAAGGACCAAUUGGAGGGCAAGUCUGGUGCCAGCAGCCGCGGUAAUUCCAGCUCCAAUAGCGUAUAUUAAAGUUGUUGCGGUUAAAACGUUCGUAGUUGAACUUGUGCUUCAUACGGGUAGUACAACUUACAAUUGUGGUUAGUACUAUACCUUUAUGUAUGUAAGCGUAUUACCGGUGGAGUUCUUAUAUGUGAUUAAAUACUUGUAUUUUUCAUAUGUUCCUCCUAUUUAAAAACCUGCAUUAGUGCUCUUAAACGAGUGUUAUUGUGGGCCGGUACUAUUACUUUGAACAAAUUAGAGUGCUUAAAGCAGGCUUCAAAUGCCUGAAUAUUCUGUGCAUGGGAUAAUGAAAUAAGACCUCUGUUCUGCUUUCAUUGGUUUUCAGAUCAAGAGGUAAUGAUUAAUAGAAGCAGUUUGGGGGCAUUAGUAUUACGACGCGAGAGGUGAAAUUCUUGGACCGUCGUAAGACUAACUUAAGCGAAAGCAUUUGCCAAAGAUGUUUUCAUUAAUCAAGAACGAAAGUUAGAGGUUCGAAGGCGAUCAGAUACCGCCCUAGUUCUAACCAUAAACGAUGCCAGCUAGCAAUUGGGUGUAGCUACUUUUAUGGCUCUCUCAGUCGCUUCCCGGGAAACCAAAGCUUUUGGGCUCCGGGGAAGUAUGGUUGCAAAGCUGAAACUUAAAGGAAUUGACGGAAGGGCACCACCAGGAGUGGAGCCUGCGGCUUAAUUUGACUCAACACGGGAAAACUUACCAGGUCCGAACAUAAGUGUGUAAGACAGAUUGAUAGCUCUUUCUCGAAUCUAUGGUGGUGGUGCAUGGCCGUUCUUAGUUCGUGGAGUGAUUUGUCUGGUUAAUUCCGAUAACGAACGAGACUCAAAUAUAUUAAAUAGAUAUCUUCAGGAUUAUGGUGCUGAAGCUUAUGUAGCCUUCAUUCAUGUUGGCAGUAAAAUGCUUAUUGUGUUUGAAUGUGUUUAUGUAAGUGGAGCCGUACCUGUUGGUUUGUCCCAUUAUAAGGACACUAGCUUCUUAAAUGGACAAAUUGCGUCUAGCAAUAAUGAGAUUGAGCAAUAACAGGUCUGUGAUGCCCUUAGAUGUCCUGGGCUGCACGCGCGCUACAAUGAAAGUAUCAACGUGUAUUUCCUAGACCGAGAGGUCCGGGUAAACCGCUGAACCACUUUCAUGCUUGGGAUUGUGAACUGAAACUGUUCACAUGAACUUGGAAUUCCCAGUAAGUGUGAGUCAUUAACUCGCAUUGAUUACGUCCCUGCCCUUUGUACACACCGCCCGUCGCUACUACCGAUUGAAUUAUUUAGUGAGGUCUCCGGACGUGAUCACUGUGACGCCUUGCGUGUUACGGUUGUUUCGCAAAAGUUGACCGAACUUGAUUAUUUAGAGGAAGUAAAAGUCGUAACAAGGUUUCCGUAGGUGAACCUGCGGAAG
This 1982-nucleotide ribosomal RNA is filed under the name Drosophila melanogaster (fruit fly). RNAcentral's name for it is "SSU rRNA". It matches the Rfam family "Eukaryotic small subunit ribosomal RNA". The record is from RNAcentral. Lineage: Eukaryota; Metazoa; Arthropoda; Insecta; Diptera; Drosophilidae.